Molecule: unclassified non-coding RNA, 541 nt
Filed under: Desmognathus wrighti (pygmy salamander)
Lineage: Eukaryota; Metazoa; Chordata; Amphibia; Caudata; Plethodontidae
Description: partial contains 12S ribosomal RNA, tRNA-Val and 16S ribosomal RNA
Source: RNAcentral
GCACUACGAGCCCAGCUUAAAACUCAAAGGACCUGGCGGCGCCCUACAUCCAUCUAGAGGAGCCUGUUCUAUAAUCGACACCCCCCGAUAAACCUCACCACCUCUUGCUAAUACAGUCUAUAUACCACCGCCUUAGUAUACCUUUUAAAAGAAUAAAAGUGAACGAAAUAAUUUUAAAUAAAAAAGUCAGGUCAAGGUGUAGCAAAUGAGCUGGAAAGAAAUGGGCUACAUUUUUUAAUUUUAAAAAACACGGAAUAUUUUAUGAAAUAAAAUAUGAAGGAGGAUUUAGAAGUAAAAAGAAAAAAGAGUGUUCUUUUUAAACAGGCAAUAGAGCACGCACACACCGCCCGUCACCCUCUCUAAAAUAAUUAAGCUUAAUUAUAAAAGAGGAAAGUCGUAACAUGGUAAGUCUACCGGAAGGUGGCCUUGGAUAUAGAGUAUAGCUUAAAUAAAGCAUUUUGUUUACACCAAAAAAAUAUUUGUUUAACCAAAUUAUUCUGAAUUUUAAAUCUAGCCCAAACAUAAUAAUUAUCCGCCAUCC